GAUGAAGAACGCAGCGAAAUGCGAUAAGUAAUGUGAAUUGCAGAAUUCCGUGAAUCAUCGAAUCUUUGAACGCACAUUGCGCCCCCUGGUAUUCCGGGGGGCAUGCCUGUCCGAGCGUCAUUGCAACCUUCAAGCGCGGCUUGUGUGUUGGGUCUCGUCCCCCGUGGACGGGCCCGAAAGGCAGUGGCGGCGUCCCGACAUGGUGCCCGAGCGUAUGGGAAUCCUCUUCCGCUCGAAUCGGCCCAUGCGGCGCUGGUCGUAACCAAAUUUUUUACCGGUUGACCUCGGAUCAGGUAGGGAUACCCGCUGAACUUAAGCAUACAAUAAGCGGAGGA
This 335-nucleotide unclassified non-coding RNA is filed under the name soil metagenome. RNAcentral's name for it is "partial contains 5.8S ribosomal RNA, internal transcribed spacer 2, and large subunit ribosomal RNA". The stretch from base 1 to 120 matches the Rfam family "5.8S ribosomal RNA", at positions 35 to 154 of the family's 154-position model. The record is from RNAcentral.